Molecule: long non-coding RNA, 500 nt
Organism: Pteropus alecto (black flying fox)
Lineage: Eukaryota; Metazoa; Chordata; Mammalia; Chiroptera; Pteropodidae
Exons: 3
Source: RefSeq, a predicted model, not a curated record
AACAUGCCCAGCCUGAAGCGGUCUGGAGGCAGAGUCAGCAUAACCUCGGGGCUGUUUAGAGGUCUUUCCUUAUUAGAUAGCGAAGGUGGAAUGCUGCUGACGUUGUGUCUGCCACUUUUGGUGUUUUGCUCCGAACUCGUGUUCUUCUAUAACAGAAAUUGGUCAGCAUGCGCUUCAUGCUCGCAGAUAAGGUGUCUGGACACUUACCGAACGGCACUGUGCUAGGUGAUGGAGAUGUGGUGAUGAAGAAGAGACAUGUGGGAGAGACAAACAAAAACAGAAAAAAUUAUAAUUACAAGCUAUGAUAAGGACCAUAAAGGAGACAAAGUGCUAAGCUAGAUGGUGCCAGGGCAGACUCACAGCAGUGCACCAGCUUUCACCAUGCAAAUGAGUAAAAUAUCGUAGGGUGUGGCGGAGCAUCAAGAGGAAAGAAACCAGGGUCCCUGGAUGACUUAAUGGAGCUGAGACACCCUUCCAGCCUAGGCCACUCCUACUUCUGG